UACGUAGGGGGCAAGCGUUGUCCGGAUUCAUUGGGCGUAAAGAGCGUGUAGGCGGCCAGGUAGGUCCGUUGUGAAAACUGGAGGCUUAACCUCCAGCUGUCGAUGGAAACCAUCUGGCUAGAGUCCGGAAGAGGAGAGUGGAAUUCCUGGUGUAGCGGUGAAAUGCGCAGAUAUCAGGAAGAACACCCGUGGCGAAGGCGGCUCUCUGGGACGGUACUGACGCUGAGACGCGAAAGCGUGGGGAGCAAACAGG
This 253-nucleotide ribosomal RNA is filed under the name uncultured bacterium. RNAcentral describes it as "partial 16S ribosomal RNA". It matches the Rfam family "Bacterial small subunit ribosomal RNA", at positions 524 to 776 of the family's 1533-position model. The record is from RNAcentral.